Triticum aestivum (bread wheat) is the source of this 1526-nucleotide long non-coding RNA. RefSeq lists it as uncharacterized. NCBI's taxonomy places the organism in Eukaryota, Viridiplantae, Streptophyta, Magnoliopsida, Poales, Poaceae. The record is from RefSeq and is a predicted model, not a curated record. The transcript has 4 exons.
ACCACGAGCGAGGCCUGCGGGGUGCCCUCGAGCGAGAACCAUGCCAGCCGCCCUCGCACAGUCGCACUCCAUCCCUUCGCCGCCGGCCUCGCGCUCGCAGGAUCGAGGCCUCCCCUCGAUCCCUACGCUACUUCCGUUCCCCGCCACCGAUCCUUUCACCGCCGCCGAUCUCAUCGCUACGAUCCCCUUGGGGAGCCGCCGCCGAUCUCGUCGGUACGAUCCACGACCGAGACAAUGAAAACAGCACCCAAGUCGCCCACCCGUGCCCACUCCCAGCCUUUCCUCUGGACGCGAUGCACAGGAUCGGCGGAGCACCACCGAGUGUAGCACCGACCACGACCUCCAUUUUUCUUUGUGGGCUAGAGAAAAUAUUCUGCCAGAUCUCUCCUAGCGCGUCCACUUUCUUCCGUGGCCAGCAGCAGCGACAAAAAAUCUGGGCACUUAGGAUUUCAGGACUGACGUAGAGGAUAUGAUUAGUACUUUGAGCUGAUCGUGGACCUGUGGUAGUUGAUAUGCUUGAUUGUUCUGCUCUAGAUAGUUAUACUAUUGUUCUGUAUAUAUAGAGAUCGGAGAAGAGAGCAGCAGCCUAUUACUACUGAUUUUGUUCAAGCUGCUACUUGCUUACUGUUACACAUCUACACAGGCAAGGCUGCUGCUUGCUGAUUGCAAUCCAUUCAUGAUAUGUAGAUAUGUAUGCUUCUGCUAGGUACUUGUGAACAGGGAGACAAUGAAUGGACGCUUCAGUGCUAGCCGGCCGGUGGCCACGCAUUGACAGCCACUGCUUGGAUACAUAACUCCAGCCAGCUAUGGUUGAGAAUGGCAAGAAGAUGCUUAUACUCCAUGGUACAAAGUGCUAUUGGUGCAGUUUUGAACUCCUUGCUGACGGAUCAUUUUCACCUGAUGCACGAUCGUUAUGUGAAGUGCGCCAACAAUAACAUCAUCAAGCCAUUUGAGUGUAAUGGUGGAACUCCCUGGAGUAUGACUGUAUGGUUUUCAUUCAAAGAAGAGGCCCAACAAUAUCUUUUGGGACUUUUUAUCACCACAUAUAUGAUCUUAUUGAACUAGGAGUCGAGAAUUACAGUUCCCCGAAAGAUCAUAUAUGCUUGAUGUGUGUGAACAUAUUGCAGGCAGACGGUUCCAGUGAUGACUCAGUUCCCUGCACAGCUUCACCAAGAGGCAUCUGUUGCAUGAGAUGUUGUAUUCUCACCUCUCAAACUAUCUGUAUUCUGAUUUUCUCACUAGGUGUUUGAUAAAAUGCCCGCCCGAGCAAACAAUUUGUUGUGUGCUACCUAAGAGAUGCAAGUUGGAUGUGGAGGAGAAUCAUGUACAAUCCUUAGGUUCUAUGGUUAAUCUGUUUAACCUAGGAGGUGGUCAUCAAGUUUGAGAUGGCAAGUGUAGGUGCUAUAUGCUGUUUUCCAUGAACCAAUAAAAUGCAUUGGCUAUUUUUCUACUCAGAUUUGUUUGUUAUUUCUGAUGGAACAUGAAAAUACUUCUGAAAGGAUUAUAAUUUCUACCUGAGAUUUCAG